This 490-nucleotide ribosomal RNA is filed under the name uncultured bacterium. RNAcentral's name for it is "partial 16S ribosomal RNA". It matches the Rfam family "Bacterial small subunit ribosomal RNA", at positions 30 to 507 of the family's 1533-position model. The record is from RNAcentral.
AUUGAACGCUGGCGGCAGGCCUAACACAUGCAAGUCGAACGGUAACAGGAAGCAGCUUGCUGCUUUGCUGACGAGUGGCGGACGGGUGAGUAAUGUCUGGGAAACUGCCUGAUGGCGGGGGAUAACUACUGGAAACGGUAGCUAAUACCGCAUAACGUCGCAAGACCAAAGAGGGGGACCUUAGGGCCUCUUGCCAUCGGAUGUGCCCAGAUGGGAUUAGCUAGUAGGUGGGGUAACGGCUCACCUAGGCGACGAUCCCUAGCUGGUCUGAGAGGAUGACCAGCCACACUGGAACUGAGACACGGUCCAGACUCCUACGGGAGGCAGCAGUGGGGAAUAUUGCACAAUGGGCGCAAGCCUGAUGCAGCCAUGCCGCGUGUAUGAAGAAGGCCUUCGGGUUGUAAAGUACUUUCAGCGGGGAGGAAGGGAGUAAAGUUAAUACCUUUGCUCAUUGACGUUACCCGCAGAAGAAGCACCGGCUAACUCCGUG